AAAUGCACUGUAGACAAGCAUUUAUGUUUAAUAGUUACAUUUUUCUGGGAUACUUUUUUAUUGUGUGAUUUCUAUUUUCAGGAAAAUGCACCGGUAACCAAAAAAAAGAAAAAUACCAAAAACAUCAUUCAACAGAAGAUUAUGGCUGCGGUGAAACAAAGCUGCACUCAAAUAAAUGAACCAAGACCUGCCGUGGGAGUGCUGAAGGAUUCAAGUGUACCAAGUCCUUUGUCUCCUCAGCCAUGUAAGAGGUCAGACAUGGCUGAAGAGAUCAAAGAGUUUAAAAAUGAAAUUAAAGAGCUUAAAGAAGAUUUAAAAUAUGAGCGUCGCUUCAGGAUAAAAGCAGAGAGAGAGCUGAGGGAGUGGAAAGGUAAUGAAAUCUAGCUAUAGUGCUGCAAUUGUUCUCAAUUUUGUGAGCUAUCUUCUUCAGUAUAUAUAAUAUCAUAUUAUUUUUGAAUACUCGAUUCUGAUUGGCUGGAAGGUGUGCAUUAAACAAUGAAUGCACAGGUUACAAGUCAGUUGAAUCACUGUUCUAAAUUAAUUUGCUGCUUUUAUUGUAGGACACACACACACACGUUUGUUUUUGUGAAAAGUGGGGACAUCCCAUAGGCGUAAUGGUUUUUAUAAUGUAGAAACUGUAUAUUCUAUCGCCAUUCACUAACCCUAACCCUAACCCUCACAGGAAUAUUUGUGCAUUUUUACUUUCUCAAAAAAACUCAUUCUGUAUGAUUUAUAAGCGUUUUGAAAAAUGUGGACAUGGGUUAUGUCCUCAUAAGUCACCCUCUCCUUGUAAUACCUGUGUCAUACCAAUGUCAUUAUACAGAGUUGUGUCCUGAUAUGUCACAAAAACAUGCCCCCACACACACACACACACUCACACACAGGCAGUCACUCGCAAAAAGAGAUCUUGCAAUGAUCUCACACGCAGAAAUAUCAAAAGUAACCGAAAAGUAACCUGGUCUGUCCUGUCUGUCAGUGAGUGCGUUGUCAGUCUCCUCUCUGCUACGCAAUGUAUUUUUCCUUGCGUAAGAACAUGGAAUGUCAUGAGAGCAGUGUAGCUUGUCAGGCAUAGCGACAGUAACUAAGGGGGGUGGGUCUUUGCGAACUGACAAUUAAAGUGACAGCUUCAUUAGGAAAAUGCUGUGCCUGAUGAAAAGGAACACUCCACUUUUUUUUUUUUUUUUUGGAAAUAGGCUAAUUUUUCAACUCCCCAUUUAUCCUGACCACGACUGUAUUUAUCAAUUCAUAUUAAUAUUUUUCCCAAUUAUUUUAUUUUGAUUUUAGAUUAGAAUCUUGAAUGAAAGACCAAGAGGAUAAAUGGUGCCAAUAGAUGUGGAGGGCACUGUAAAGGUUUUGUGGAUUGUGAACAUGAUUGUG
Molecule: long non-coding RNA, 1377 nt
Filed under: Carassius auratus (goldfish)
Lineage: Eukaryota; Metazoa; Chordata; Actinopteri; Cypriniformes; Cyprinidae
Description: lncRNA (ENSCARG00000046711.1)
Source: RNAcentral